Molecule: ribosomal RNA, 251 nt
Filed under: uncultured prokaryote
Description: partial 16S ribosomal RNA
Rfam family: Bacterial small subunit ribosomal RNA
Source: RNAcentral
ACGGAGGUUGCAAGCGUUGUUCGGAAUAACUGGGCGUAAAGGGAGCGCAGGCGGUUCGGUUAGUCUGAAGUGAAAUCCCAGAGCUCAACUCUGGACCUGCUUCGGAUACUGCCGGGCUUGAGUACGUGAGAGGAGAGUGGAAUUCCAGGUGUAGCGGUGAAAUGCGUAGAUAUCUGGAGGAACACCAGUGGCGAAAGCGGCUCUCUGGCACGUUACUGACGCUGAGGCUCGAAAGCGUGGGGAGCAAACGG